Molecule: ribosomal RNA, 414 nt
Filed under: uncultured bacterium
Lineage: Bacteria
Description: bacterial SSU rRNA
Rfam family: Bacterial small subunit ribosomal RNA
Source: RNAcentral
AACGAACGCUGGCGGCGCGCCUAAUACAUGCAAGUCGAGCGAGAAGACGUAGCAAUACGUUUGUAAAGCGGCGAACGGGUGAGGAAUACAUGGGUAACCUACCCUCGAGUGGGGAAUAACUAGCCGAAAGGUUAGCUAAUACCGCGUACGCUCCUUGGACUUCGGUUCAGGGAGGAAAGCGAUACCGCGGGUAUCGCGCUCUUGGAUGGGCUCAUGUCCUAUCAGCUUGUUGGUGAGGUAACGGCUCACCAAGGCUUCGACGGGUAGCUGGUCUGAGAGGACGAUCAGCCACACUGGCACUGCGACACGGGCCAGACUCCUACGGGAGGCAGCAGUAAGGAAUAUUGCGCAAUGGGCGAAAGCCUGACGCAGCGACGCCGCGUGGGGGAUGAAGGUCUUCGGAUUGUAAACCCC